AACGUAGGAGACAAACGUUAUCCGGAGUUACUGGGCGUAAAGGGCGUGCAGGUGGUCUGUUAAGUCUGGCGUGAAAGCUCCUGGCUAAACCGGGAGAGGUCGUUGGAUACUGGCAAACUAGAGGACGGUAGAGGCGUGUGGAAUUCCGGGUGUAGUGGUGAAAUGCGUAGAGAUCCGGAGGAACACCAGUGGCGAAGGCGACACGCUGGGCCGUACCUGACGCUAAAGCGCGACAGCAUGGGGAGCAAACGGG
Molecule: ribosomal RNA, 253 nt
Filed under: uncultured bacterium
Lineage: Bacteria
Description: partial 16S ribosomal RNA
Rfam family: Bacterial small subunit ribosomal RNA
Source: RNAcentral